GAUGAACGCUAGCUACAGGCUUAACACAUGCAAGUCGAGGGACCGGCGCACGGGUGAGUAACACGUAUCCAACCUGCCCUUUACUCGGGGAUAGCCUUUCGAAAGAAAGAUUAAUACCCGAUAUAAAGGAUGGGGAUGCGUUCCAUUAGGUUGUUGGUAAGGUAACGGCUCAACAAGCCUUCUAUGGAUAGGGGUUCUGAGCGGAAGGUCCCCCACAUGGGAACUGAGACACUGUCCAAACUGCGAGGGGAGGGAGCAGUGAGGAAUAUAGGUCAAUGGGCGCUAGCCUGAACCAGCCAAGUAGCGUGAAGGAUGAAUGGUUAUUGGUCGUAAACUUCUGUGAUAUAAGAAGAUUUAUUAUAUGAAGAAGGAUCGGCUAACUCCGUGCCAGCAGCCGCGGUAAUAC
Molecule: ribosomal RNA, 406 nt
Filed under: uncultured bacterium
Lineage: Bacteria
Description: partial 16S ribosomal RNA
Rfam family: Bacterial small subunit ribosomal RNA
Source: RNAcentral